Molecule: ribosomal RNA, 400 nt
Filed under: uncultured bacterium
Lineage: Bacteria
Description: bacterial SSU rRNA
Rfam family: Bacterial small subunit ribosomal RNA
Source: RNAcentral
UCGAGAAUCUUCGUCAAUGCGCGAAAGCGUGAACGAGCGACGCCGCGUGAGCGAUGAAGCCCUUCGGGGCGUAAAGCUCUUUUGUUAGGGACAAAUUUUGAUUUUACCUAGCGAAUAAGAGGUUGCUAACUCUGUGCCAGCAGCAGCGGUAAUACAGAGACCUCAAGCGUUAUCCGGAUUUAUUGGGCGUAAAGAGUCUGUAGGCGGAACAAAUAGUCGGAUGUUAAAUUUUGGGGCUCAACCUUAAAAUCGCAUCCGAAACGUUUGUUCUAGAGGAUGGUAGAGGCAAGUGGAACUUAUGGUGUAGCAGUAAAAUGCGUUGAUAUCAUAAGGAAUACCAAAGGCGAAGGCAUCUUGCUGGGCCAUUCCUGACGCUGAGAGACGAAAGCGUGGGUAGCGA